This 465-nucleotide ribosomal RNA is filed under the name uncultured bacterium. RNAcentral's name for it is "partial 16S ribosomal RNA". It matches the Rfam family "Bacterial small subunit ribosomal RNA", at positions 28 to 507 of the family's 1533-position model. The record is from RNAcentral.
GACGAACGCUGGCGGCGUGCUUAACACAUGCAAGUCGAACGGAAAGGCCCCUUUGGGGGUACUCGAGUGGCGAACGGGUGAGUAACACGUGAGUAACCUGCCCUUGACUUCGGGAUAACUUCAGGAAACUGGGGCUAAUACCGGAUAGGAAUCCUUGCUGCAUGGUGGGGGUUGGAAAGCUUCGGCGGUUUUGGAUGGACUCGCGGCUUAUCAGCUUGUUGGUGGGGUAGUGGCUUACCAAGGCUUUGACGGGUAGCCGGCCUGAGAGGGCGACCGGCCACAUUGGGACUGAGAUACGGCCCAGACUCCUACGGGAGGCAGCAGUGGGGAAUAUUGCACAAUGGGCGGAAGCCUGAUGCAGCAACGCCGCGUGCGGGAUGACGCCCUUCGGGUUGUAAACCGCUUUCAGCAGGGGCGAAGCUUGUGGUGACGGUACCUGCAGAAGAAGCACCGGCUAACUACGUG